This 3031-nucleotide long non-coding RNA is filed under the name Homo sapiens (human). RNAcentral's name for it is "DLG5 antisense RNA 1 (DLG5-AS1)". The record is from RNAcentral. Lineage: Eukaryota; Metazoa; Chordata; Mammalia; Primates; Hominidae.
GGCCGGGGCGCGCCCCGAGGCCGGGCUCCAGCCGGGCAUGCUCCCCCUCCCCCUCAGCCUCCGCGCGCGCCGCCCGCCCCGCGAGAAAACUCGCCCCGAAAGCCGGGCCGCGCGCCGCCCCCAGAGCAAGACUACAACUCCCGGGAGAAAGUCGCCUGGGCCGUGUUUCCCAGGCUCCCGACAGCUCCGGCCCGGCUCGGAGGCCGCCUCGGCCCCCGUGCACCCCGGCCCGGCUCACCGGGGCCCCGCGGCCGCCACCCGCUCCCCCGUGGCCACAGCCCCGCCGCCGCCGGCCCGUCCCUCCUCUCUCCCCUCCCCAGGCCGUCCCUCCGGGAGGCGGCAGCAGGGGAGGAGGGGACGGGCGGAGGGGAGGGGUCCCCGGCCCGCCCGCUAGGCGGGGACGCGGCGCCGGCUGGUUCCCGGUCCCCCGAGGCCCAGGCGCAGCCGGGGGUGGGGGACACGGAGUCAGGCCUGGCACGCGGCCAGCCCACAAGCUGCUGGAGACCCCCUCAUACAAAUCUUGCCCCCAGUCCAGAGGGUCCUAAUCUGAGAACUCCAAAAUACAGCCUGGAGACAAAUGGUGGGGAGGGUUUCCCCUAAAUUUGGACAUCUCCAGAUUAAGACCUCCGCCGAAUCCGUGAGGCUUUCCCUCUCCAAGGAGCUCCUAAGAGAAUUUCCCAGUAAAAUCGCCUCAACUGCGGUAAAUAGGCUGUUCCCCGCGCCAGCAUUUGAGAAGAGCUGGUCCCCAGAGUGUAAAGGAGUUAGGAUGUUGGCAGGAGGAAGGAUGUGUCGCCGGAUGAGGAAAAGAAAGGUGGGUGUCUGCGGUGCAGUCCUUGGUCUUUCUGGCAAGUGAGGCGCUCUCCCCCUAAAUGUCUCAGAGGGAGACAAAUCAGCGGACUACCUUGCUUCCUUUGAUGACUUGGAAAGGAUCUGCAGUCCCCCUUAAAGCCCAAGAAUGUCUUCUCUUCCACGACAGCCGUUUGUGGACACAUACUGCUUACCUCCCUGACUGCAGGACAAGGUCCUUCAAAGCUGGAACUCUGACUGCGCUCAGUGAUCCCGCAGUGCUCCUCUGUAGAGUGGGAACCCAGGUCCAUUUCAAAUAUCUACGUUGGAAUGAGUGGAUCUCGCUGGGGGUGAGAGGCACUUUGUCUACCCACACUGCCAGUCCCAGCCACAUGCCUCCUCCCUUCCCUCAAAAAGCAGUGUCUUCUUAGUCUGCUUCUUCAAGGGGAGAAGUCGUUUUUAUUUAUGGAAACGAACUCACUAUAUGGUAGAAAGAACAAGAGUAUCAGAAUUUGCACUUUGGACUUGGACUCCCCUCUAAGCAGCUGCACAAGGUGGAACAAACCAAUAAUCCUUGCUGAUCUGUUUUGUCCUUAGGAAAAAUGGUGGAGGGAGAAUAUUAGAUCAGGGGUUCUUAGCCUUGGCUUCAUGAAUAAGCUCAAGGAUGUCAAUGAAGCUUUUGACAUGAUCUCAACUUUUUUGUGAACAUUUAUAUAUUUUUCUGGAAUGGGGUCCAUAGAGUUACAAGUUCUUUAAGACCUCCAGAUGGACCCCAAUAUGGCAGAAAUGAACUAUUUAAAGAUACCUGCCUGCUCCCGUAGUCUGACCCUCUAUGGCUAAGCAAGGUUUUAGAGGAGUGGAAGGCUGGCCAUUGCACAGUAUCAGGGUUCCAGACAGGCUCCCUGGCUCUUCCCUCCCAGUCCUGCUCCUGAGAUAUAGUUCUUUCUGGCCGCCACUUCCCUUAGGGCAACCCCAGAGCUUAAAUCAUCUGCAAGGCAGUCACCUUUCAGGCACCUUUCAUCCGGCACCUGUGUUCUUAGCUGGAUUAACUAGAAAGCUAGUUGGAGGAAGGAAGGUGAAAGUGGAGGAAGGGGAAAAGAGGAAAAGUUGGAGACGAAUCUGGCUUAUGGUUAGAAGCAUAUUUUUUGGCCAGGCAAAGUGGCUCACGCCUGUAAUCCCAGCACUUUGGGAGGCUGAGGUAGGCGGAUUGCCUGAGCUCAGGAGUUGGAGACCAGCCUGGCCAACGUGGUAAAACCCCGUCUCUAACAAAAAUACAAAAAUUUAGCCAGGCAUGAUGGUGCAAGCCUGUAAUCCCAGCUGUUCAGGAGGCUGAGGCAUGAGAAUUGCUUGAACCCAGGAGGUGGAGGUUGCAGUGAGCUGAAAUUGCACCACUGCACUCCAGGCUGGGUGACCGAGCAAGACUCUGUCUCAAAAAAAAGAAAAAAAAACUUAUUUUUUGAGACAGAGUCUCACUCUGUCGCCCAGGCUGGAUUGCAGUGGGGCAAACACAGUUCACUGCAGCCUCAAUUUCUUGGGCUCAAGCAACUAUCCUGCCUCAGCCUCCCGAGGAGUAGCUGGGAUCAUAGGUGCUUGCCACCACACCUGGCUAAUUUUUUAAAUAUUUUGUAGACACAGGGUCUUGCCACAUUGCCCAGGCUGGUCUUGAACUCCUGGGCUCAAGUUAUCCUCCCGCCUCGGUCUCCCAAAGUUCUGGAAUUACAGAUGUUAGUUACCACCCGGACCAAUUUUAGGAUUCCUUUAGCCAGUGACCUUGGUGUGACCUUGUACUUCUGCAGCAUUUUAUACCUUCUGCGGCACACCCUUGUAGUGGGUCGAAUUGUGUUCCCCCAAAAGAUAUGUUCUAGUCCUAAUUCCCAGUACCUGUGAAUGUGACUUAUUUAGAAAUAGGGUCUUUGCAGAUGUAAUCUAGUUCAAAUGAGGUCAUACUGGAUUAGGGCGGGUCCUCAUCCAAUAACUGUUGUUCUUAUUAGAAUAGGGAAAUUUGGAUGCAGAGACACAGAGAAAAUGCCAUGUGAAGAUGGAUCAGAGACAGAAGUGAUGCGGCUGCAAGCCAAGGAAUGUGAAGAAUGGCCAGCCACCACCGGAAGCUAGGGGAGACGCCAGCACAGAUUCUCCCUGAGAGUAUCCAGAAGAAACCAACCCUCCAACACCUGGAUUUCAGACUUCUGACCUUGAGAAGUGUGAGCCAAUAAAACAACUGCAGUGGAAAAAAAAAAAAAAAAAA